Molecule: ribosomal RNA, 254 nt
Filed under: uncultured bacterium
Lineage: Bacteria
Description: partial 16S ribosomal RNA
Rfam family: Bacterial small subunit ribosomal RNA
Source: RNAcentral
UACGGGGGGGGCAAGCGUUGUUCGGAACUACUGGGCGUAAAGGGCGCGUAGGCGGCUAGGCAAGUCAGGUGUGAAAGCCCCGAGCUUAACUCGGGAACUGCAUCUGAAACUGCUGGGCUUGAGUUUGGGAGAGGGAUGCGGAAUUCCAGGUGUAGCGGUGAAAUGCGUAGAUAUCUGGAGGAACACCGGUGGCGAAGGCGGCAUCCUGGACCAACACUGACGCUGAGUGAGCGAAAGCCAGGGGAGCAAACAGG